Molecule: transfer RNA, 72 nt
Filed under: Takifugu rubripes (torafugu)
Lineage: Eukaryota; Metazoa; Chordata; Actinopteri; Tetraodontiformes; Tetraodontidae
Description: tRNA-Pro (CGG) (tRNA-Pro-CGG-4-1)
Rfam family: tRNA
About the family: Transfer RNA (tRNA) molecules are approximately 80 nucleotides in length. Their secondary structure includes four short double-helical elements and three loops (D, anti-codon, and T loops).
Source: RNAcentral
GGCUCGUUGGUCUAGGAGUAUGAUUCUUGCUUCGGGUGCGAGAGGUCCCGGGUUCAAAUCCUGGACGAGCCC